This 623-nucleotide ribosomal RNA is filed under the name Euplotes sp. 1 cAcq2. RNAcentral's name for it is "SSU rRNA". It matches the Rfam family "Eukaryotic small subunit ribosomal RNA", at positions 626 to 1182 of the family's 1831-position model. The record is from RNAcentral. Lineage: Eukaryota; Ciliophora; Spirotrichea; Euplotida; Euplotidae.
GCUCGUAGUUGGAUUUCUGAAGUUGAGGUGGGAGGGUGGCUAUGGCCAUCGCCCAUCUCUUCCUUCAUCCACCUGUUAGCGAAUCCCGGGAUUGAUUUCUCGGUUUCGGGCUCAGGUAUCUUACCAUUUUCUAUAUUUGCAAUCUUCAUCGAUUAUGCAUUUUUUUCUUUGAGCAAAUUAUAGUGUUUCAGGCAGGCGUGCGCCGGAAUACAUUAGCAUGGUAUAAACGAAUUGGACCGUGUAUUCAUUAUUUGAAUUUUUCCUUAUUUGUUGGUUUGAAGGACACGGAGAUGGUUAAUAGGGACAGAAUUUAUUUCAGGGGGAGGCAUUAGUAUUUAAUUUCCAGAGGUGAAAUUCUUUGAAAUAUUAAAGACUAACUUAUGCGAAAGCAUUUAUUUGCCAAUGAUGUUUUCAUUAAUCAUUGAACGAAAGUUAGGGGAUCAAAGACGAUCAGAUACCGUCCUAGUCUUAACCAUAAACGUUGCCGACUAGGGAUCGGAGGGCGUGCACAUUCCGCCUUCGGCACCUUACGAGAAAUCAAAGUCUUUUGGGUUCUGUGGGUAGUAUGGUCGCAAGGCUGAAACUUAAAGGAAUUGACGGAAGGGCACCACCAGGAGUGGAGC